CCUACGGGAGGCAGCAGUGAGGAAUAUUGGUCAAUGGCCGUAAGGCUGAACCAGCCAAGUCGCGUGAAGGAAGAAGGAUCUAUGGUUUGUAAACUUCUUUUAUAGGGGAAUAAAGGUAUCCACGUGUGGAUAUUUGCAUGUACCCUAUGAAUAAGCAUCGGCUAACUCCGUGCCAGCAGCCGCGGUAAUACGGAGGAUGCGAGCGUUAUCCGGAUUUAUUGGGUUUAAAGGGUGCGUAGGUUUUUUUUUAAGUCAGCGGGGAAAGUUUGUGGCUCAACCAGAAAAUUGCCGUUGAAACUGGUAGACUUGAGUGUGUUUGAGGUAGGCGGACUGCGUUGUGUCGCGGU
This 347-nucleotide ribosomal RNA is filed under the name uncultured bacterium. Its description in RNAcentral is "partial 16S ribosomal RNA". It matches the Rfam family "Bacterial small subunit ribosomal RNA", at positions 338 to 682 of the family's 1533-position model. The record is from RNAcentral.